GGUUGAAUGGCGCAAUGGUAGCGUGUGGUCCUCCUAUUCAGAAGGAUUAGACUGAGGUUGUGGGUUCGAGUCCCAUUUCAAUCG
This is a transfer RNA of Chaetomium globosum CBS 148.51, 84 nucleotides long. It matches the Rfam family "tRNA". Rfam says of the family: Transfer RNA (tRNA) molecules are approximately 80 nucleotides in length. Their secondary structure includes four short double-helical elements and three loops (D, anti-codon, and T loops). NCBI's taxonomy places the organism in Eukaryota, Fungi, Ascomycota, Sordariomycetes, Sordariales, Chaetomiaceae. The record is from Rfam.